CUCGCGAGAGUAAGCUAAUCUCUUAAAGCCGUUCUCAGUUCGGACUGUAGGCUGCAACUCGCCUACACGAAGCUGGAAUCGCUAGUAAUCGCGGAUCAGCACGCCGCGGUGAAUACGUUCCCGGGCCUUGUACACACCGCCCGUCACACCAUGAGAGUCUGUAACACCCAAAGCCGGUGGGAUAACCUUUAUAGGAGUCAGCCGUCUAAGGUAGGACAGAUGAUUAGGGUGAAGUCGUAACAAGGUAUC
This 249-nucleotide ribosomal RNA is filed under the name uncultured bacterium. Its description in RNAcentral is "partial 16S ribosomal RNA". It matches the Rfam family "Bacterial small subunit ribosomal RNA", at positions 1254 to 1500 of the family's 1533-position model. The record is from RNAcentral.